Molecule: long non-coding RNA, 631 nt
Filed under: Gossypium barbadense (sea-island cotton)
Lineage: Eukaryota; Viridiplantae; Streptophyta; Magnoliopsida; Malvales; Malvaceae
Description: long non-coding RNA (GBAR_LNC013977)
Source: RNAcentral
UCCUAUCAGAAAAAUCUAUUGCAGGAAUCCAUUGAUAGUAGAUCUGUUAAUAUCUCCUUCGAGGAAUUCAAGAUCAUCAUCAUCCCCCAUGCCAGAAUUUGUCAUCGCCGUUUUAGCAAUAUUACCGGUUCCAAUCCCCAUUAGUUUGUCCUUCCAUGAUAGAUUUGGGGUCGGCCUUGGGUCAACCGUCAUUUCUGUGUUCGCCUCACCGUUGGUCUCUUCCUUCUUAGUAUUUCUAUCCACAUCUUCUUGAGAACCUUCACCAUCAUCUACUUCCAGAUGAUUCCCAUCACCACCGGAUUCCAGAGAAAUUUCCAUUUUGUUCCAAAUAAAAAGUCUUGAAACAAGAUAAUCUGUAUUCUAAAAUCCAAUUGCUGCUUCUUUGAGCAAAGCCAAAAUCCAUUCCUGGCGUGAUUUACAAAUUGCAAAUGUAGCUUUUGUUUUUCAAAGUUUUGAUCGUUAGAAAAGUGGUUUUAUUGUUGAAUUAAUUAGCUUAAGCAUGCUUCUUUCAAUGUUAAAUUUGUUUGUCUGAUGCAACUACGGAAACUAAAUCUUUGCUGGGAUGGUGCCUUGCUCCUUCGCAUAAGAUCCCACAUCAAGGAGCGUACGCAAGAAGAGGCGAGAAGCAGGU